This 468-nucleotide ribosomal RNA is filed under the name uncultured bacterium. RNAcentral's name for it is "partial 16S ribosomal RNA". It matches the Rfam family "Bacterial small subunit ribosomal RNA", at positions 28 to 507 of the family's 1533-position model. The record is from RNAcentral.
GACGAACGCUGGCGGCGUGCUUAACACAUGCAAGUCGAACGGAAAGGCCCUGCUUUUGUGGGGUGCUCGAGUGGCGAACGGGUGAGUAACACGUGAGUAACCUGCCCUUGACUUUGGGGUAACUUCAGGAAACUUGGGGUAAUACCGGAUAGGAGCUCCUGCUGCAUGGUGGGGGUUGGGAAGGUUCGGCGGUUGGGGAUGGACUCGCGGCUUAUCAGCUUGUUGGUGGGGUAGUGGCUUACCAAGGCUUUGACGGGUAGCCGGCCUGAGAGGGUGACCGGCCACAUUGGGACUGAGAUACGGCCCAGACUCCUACGGGAGGCAGCAGUGGGGAAUAUUGCACAAUGGGCGGAAGCCUGAUGCAGCAACGCCGCGUGCGGGAUGACGGCCUUCGGGUUGUAAACCGCUUUCGCCUGUGACGAAGCGUGAGUGACGGUAAUGGGUAAAGAAGCACCGGCUAACUACGUG